GUAUCAUGGCUCAGAUUGAACGCUGGCGGCAUGCCUUACACAUGCAAGUCGAACGGUAACAGGUCUUCGGACGCUGACGAGUGGCGAACGGGUGAGUAAUACAUCGGAACGUGCCCAGUCGUGGGGGAUAACUACUCGAAAGAGUAGCUAAUACCGCAUACGAUCUGAGGAUGAAAGCGGGGGACCUUCGGGCCUCGCGCGAUUGGAGCGGUCCGAUGGGCAGAUUAGGUAGUUGGUGGGAUAAAAG
Molecule: ribosomal RNA, 247 nt
Filed under: uncultured bacterium
Lineage: Bacteria
Description: partial 16S ribosomal RNA
Rfam family: Bacterial small subunit ribosomal RNA
Source: RNAcentral